GAGACAGCCUUCUGGGGCAAGACUUGCUUCAGUGGGGCUUUGGUGCUCAUUGAGUUCGCCCCCUGAGUGUGUCCCU
This 76-nucleotide microRNA precursor is filed under the name Myotis lucifugus (little brown bat). RNAcentral describes it as "mir-9229 microRNA precursor family". It matches the Rfam family "mir-9229 microRNA precursor family". Lineage: Eukaryota; Metazoa; Chordata; Mammalia; Chiroptera; Vespertilionidae. The record is from Rfam by way of RNAcentral.